Nyctereutes procyonoides (raccoon dog) is the source of this 381-nucleotide long non-coding RNA. RefSeq lists it as uncharacterized. The transcript is spliced from 2 exons. Lineage: Eukaryota; Metazoa; Chordata; Mammalia; Carnivora; Canidae. The record is from RefSeq and is a predicted model, not a curated record.
GUGCCCAUGAGCUGGUCCAGCAGGGCCCGCAUCUGCGCCUGGGCGGACAUGAUGGCCGGGGCGAGGGCGCCAGGGACGGCCGCGACGGCUCCUCUCGGCGCGGCGGCGGCGGCAGCGACGAAGACACACAGAGAGAGAGGCAGAGACACAGGCAGAGGGAGAAGCAGGCUCCACGCAGGGAGCCCGACGUGGGACUCGAUUCCAGAACCCCAGGAUCACAGCCUGGGCCAAAGGCAGAAGCUCAACCGCUGAGCCGCCCAGGCGUCCCCCAACCCUGAUCCUGUUCUUGGGCCCAAGACCUAGAUGUUCUACUGAGACUAAACUGAAAUAGGAAAAAAAAAUAAAAAAUAAAUAAAUAAAAUAAACCGAAAUAGGAUAAGA